UGUGGCUCAGUGGUAGAGCAUUUGCCUGGCAAGCAUGAGGCCCUGGGUUCCAUCCUCAGCA
RNAcentral lists this transfer RNA (61 nucleotides) under Ictidomys tridecemlineatus (thirteen-lined ground squirrel). Its description in RNAcentral is "Spermophilus tridecemlineatus (thirteen-lined ground squirrel) tRNA". It matches the Rfam family "tRNA", at positions 6 to 65 of the family's 71-position model. Rfam says of the family: Transfer RNA (tRNA) molecules are approximately 80 nucleotides in length. Their secondary structure includes four short double-helical elements and three loops (D, anti-codon, and T loops). Further hydrogen bonds mediate the characteristic L-shaped molecular structure. tRNAs have two regions of fundamental functional importance: the anti-codon, which is responsible for specific mRNA codon recognition, and the 3' end, to which the tRNAs corresponding amino acid is attached (by aminoacyl-tRNA synthetases). tRNAs cope with the degeneracy of the genetic code in two manners: having more than one tRNA (with a specific anti-codon) for a particular amino acid; and 'wobble' base-pairing, i.e. permitting non-standard base-pairing at the 3rd anti-codon position. Lineage: Eukaryota; Metazoa; Chordata; Mammalia; Rodentia; Sciuridae. The record is from Rfam by way of RNAcentral.